Molecule: ribosomal RNA, 253 nt
Filed under: uncultured bacterium
Lineage: Bacteria
Description: partial 16S ribosomal RNA
Rfam family: Bacterial small subunit ribosomal RNA
Source: RNAcentral
UACGUAGGCAGCAAGCGUUGUUCGGAAUUACUGGGCGUAAAGAGCGUGUAGGCGGCCAUUCAGGUCAGCUGUGAAAACUCGAGGCUCAACCUCGAGACGUCGGUUGAAACCGUUUGGCUAGAGUCCGGAAGAGGAGAGUGGAAUUCCCGGUGUAGCGGUGAAAUGCGCAGAUAUCAGGAGGAACACCGGUGGCGAAGGCGGGUCUCUGGGCCGUUACUGACGCUGAGGAGCGAAAGCGUGGGGAGCGAACAGG